RNAcentral lists this long non-coding RNA (650 nucleotides) under Rattus norvegicus (Norway rat). RNAcentral describes it as "long non-coding RNA NONRATT032029". Lineage: Eukaryota; Metazoa; Chordata; Mammalia; Rodentia; Muridae. The record is from RNAcentral.
GAAUGAAUCUGUGUGCUUUGUAUCAAUAAGGGGAUCUUUGUUGCUGGGGAGAAGGUUCCUUUUCCUCCUCAAAACUUGACAUCAGAGCUCCCUUAAACAAUGGGCAUUUUAUGACUGGCCUAAUUGUUCUCAAUGCUUCGUGUAUGGCCAAAGAACAGUUUUUGUUUGAAUUCUGAAGGGGCCAUUAUAUGUUGGCAGGUGUUCAUGACUGCAUUAUGACAGAAGAGACACAGCUGAGAUCGUGUCAUGGAAACAUCAGAUUUCUGGUUUCACCAUGUCUAGGGGAAUGUUUGUCUUCACAGAUGAUUUGCUUGUGCAUCUUAGCUGCAUGCGCUUCCCUCUGGGGGACAAAAUCUAAACUUGGAAAUAAAGUUCUCCAAGAGUACACGGGCAGUUUUGGGUAUGAAGCUAAGUUCCAGGAAUGUGCAGAAUCUGGACAUGGAGUGGAUGUGAAUCUGCAUCUGAAGCCCGAGCCCCAGUCGCACAUAUGAAAAAGAUGCCAUGGGAGCAAACACUGAGACCGAUACUUAGGAUGAAGCAGGUUAGUGAGGUUUCAUCAAUGUGUGGACAAGAAAGAAAGGAGAUCAAGAAGAAGCUAAUGUGCCCAGUGGGAGUGACUUUUGGUUAAGCUGUAAUUACCUAGAUACCCC